RNAcentral lists this ribosomal RNA (1211 nucleotides) under metagenome. Its description in RNAcentral is "bacterial SSU rRNA". It matches the Rfam family "Bacterial small subunit ribosomal RNA", at positions 296 to 1498 of the family's 1533-position model. The record is from RNAcentral.
GAGGAUGGUCAGCCACACUGGGACUGAGACACUGCCCAGACUCCUACGGGAGGCUGCAGUCGAGAAUAUUUAGCAAUGGGCGAAAGCCUGACUAUGCGACGCCGCGUGAAGGAUGAAGGUUUUCGGAUCGUAAACUUCUUUUGUUAGGAGAGAAUAUUUCGUCAUAAAUAGUGGCGGAACUGACGGUACCUAGCGAAUAAGCCACGGCCAACUCCGUGCCAGCAGCCGCGGUAAUACGGAGGUGGCGAGCGUUACUCGGAUUCAUUGGGUGUAAAGGGCAAGUAGGCGGUCUAAUGGGUGAGGGGUGAAAUCUUCCGACUCAAUCGGAAAACUGCCUUUCAAACUAUUAGACUUGAGGAUGGAAGAGGAAAAUGGAAUUCUCAGUGUAAGGGUGAAAUCUGUAGAUAUUGAGAAGAACACCAGCGGCGAAGGCGAUUUUCUGGUCCAUUCCUGACGCUGAAUUGCGAAAGCUAGGGGAGCAAACAGAAUUAGAUACUCUGGUAGUCCUAGCUGUAAACGAUGAGCACUAGGUGUUGGCCUUUCGGGGUCGGUGCCGCAGCUAACGCAUUAAGUGCUCCACCUGGGGACUACGGCCGCAAGGUUAAAACUCAAAGGAAUUGACGGGGACCCGCACAAGCGGUGGAACAUGUGGUUCAAUUCGAUGCUACGCGAAGAACCUCACCAGGGCUUGACAUGUAGAAAGUAGAGAUCUGAAAGGUGAUCGACCUGUCAAGUCAGGAAUCUACACAGGUGCUGCAUGGCUGUCGUCAGCUCGUGUCGUGAGAUGUUGGGUUAAGUCCCGCAACGAGCGCAACCAUUAUCUCUUGUUGCCACCUUUUUGUGUCUUCGGAUACAAAAAGAGCACUCUAGAGAGACUGCCUGGGUUAACCAGGAGGAAGGCGGAGAUGACGUCAAGUCAGUACGGCCUUUAUGCCCUGGGCUACACACGUGUUACAAUGGUCGGUACAAAGAGUUGCCAGUCCGUAAGGAGGAGCUAAUCUCAAAAAACCGAUCUCAGUUCGGAUUGAAGUCUGAAAUUCGACUUCAUGAAGUUGGAAUCGCUAGUAAUGGCAGAUCAGCACGCUGCCGUGAAUACGUUCCCGGGUCUUGUACACACCGCCCGUCAAGCGAUGGAAGUUAGUGGUACCCGAAGUCCUAUGUAGAUAGGCCGAAGGUAAAACUAAUGACUGGCGCUAAGUCGUAACAAGGUA